AUAAUACUCCCUCCGUCCGGAAUUACUUCUCAUCAAAAUUGAUGUGCCUAGAACUAAAAUACAUCUAGAUACAUCCAUUUCAAUGACAAGUAUUUUCGGACGGAGGGAGUAGUAG
Triticum aestivum (bread wheat) is the source of this 115-nucleotide non-coding RNA. Lineage: Eukaryota; Viridiplantae; Streptophyta; Magnoliopsida; Poales; Poaceae. The record is from Rfam.